RNAcentral lists this ribosomal RNA (253 nucleotides) under uncultured bacterium. RNAcentral describes it as "partial 16S ribosomal RNA". It matches the Rfam family "Bacterial small subunit ribosomal RNA", at positions 524 to 776 of the family's 1533-position model. The record is from RNAcentral.
UACAGAGGUCUCAAGCGUUGUUCGGAUUCAUUGGGCGUAAAGGGUGCGUAGGCGGCGCGGUAAGUCGGGUGUGAAAUCUCGGGGCUUAACUCCGAAACUGCAUUCGAUACUGCCGUGCUUGAGGACUGGAGAGGAGACUGGAAUUUACGGUGUAGCGGUGAAAUGCGUAGAUAUCGGAAGGAACAUCAGUGGCGAAAGCGACUUCCUGGACCAAUACUGACGCUCAUGUGCGAAAGCGUGGGGAGCAAACAGG